RNAcentral lists this ribosomal RNA (253 nucleotides) under uncultured bacterium. RNAcentral's name for it is "partial 16S ribosomal RNA". It matches the Rfam family "Bacterial small subunit ribosomal RNA", at positions 524 to 776 of the family's 1533-position model. The record is from RNAcentral.
UACAGAGGGUGCGAGCGUUAAUCGGAUUUACUGGGCGUAAAGGGCGCGUAGGCGGAUAUGUGCGUCGGGUGUGAAAGCCCCAGGCUCAACCUGGGAAUAGCAUUCGAUACGGCAAAUCUAGAGUGCGAGAAGAGGAAACGGAAUGGCGAGUGGAGCAGUGAAAUGCGUUGAUAUUCGUUGGAACACCGGAGGCGAAGGCGGUUUCCUAGCUCGUAACUGACGCUGAGGCGCGAAAGUGUGGGGAGCAAACAGG